UACACGGCAUUGUAAACUGUCAUAGAUGUAAGAGAAUUUACUUGCACUGUGUGGUAAUGGACAACUUGGGUUUCAGGCUUGUUUGAGGCUGCAAAUGGAUUGGACGUGUGGCGUCAGCUUGAUAGUCCUGUUGAAGGUCACCUAUGUCGGAGCUGUCGUCACUGACUGGUAUGGAAGAAGGAUAUAAGUAGAUGGCUAUAAUGAUUUGUGUCAUUUAACUGUGGGGUUUUGUAUUUUGCUGUGCUGCUACCUUCACUGUGGACAGUGGCUGUGGCUACAGUUGGGUAGUCUGGUUCUGUGUAUUCGUUGGAUUCAGAACGUUGAGGAAUGUUGUCACGAGUUUCGACUCUGAACGAGUAGAAGUAUUUAUGGCUAUGGGCUUACUAACACUAUGCAAGACGGCGACAUGUUUCGAACUGUAUGAAAGAAUGAUGCAGGAUUACAUCAUCAGCAGAAUGAAAUAUAAGGCAAAAUGUUUGGUCGGACAUCUUACUAUAUCAAAGAGGUUGACGUGACGUUUUAAAUUUAGGCACUCAUUUUUAUUUGAUUUCACAAUCUUGUAAUAAUUAUCAACAUUGUUGCGUCAUAUUAACUACUGUAUUAUUUGCUAUCAAAAUAUAAACUGUUACAGUAUGACAGUGUUGUCAUUAUGCACUCAC
Long non-coding RNA from Corticium candelabrum, 659 nucleotides. RefSeq lists it as uncharacterized. The record is from RefSeq and is a predicted model, not a curated record. Lineage: Eukaryota; Metazoa; Porifera; Homoscleromorpha; Homosclerophorida; Plakinidae. The transcript has 3 exons.